UUUGAAACUAGAAACUGAAAAUCCAAUGUUGCUUCAAGUGAUACCAAUGCAGUUGACUGAAAGAUGAUUAAGAUAAACAAAAAGCAAUUUUUACUGAAACAAAAAAUUUUGUUUACUUAAUGAUGUGAAUUUGGUUUUCAUAUUUUGGUAAUUAUGUGAUUUGUUUAUUUUCUUUUCAUUAAUUUUGCAUCUCAUUGUGAUGAUUUGUUCGCUUCUAAUCAUGUGAUCGUUGAAAGGCAACAUGAACAGAGCUGUGUUUUCUUUAGCUUGGUGAACUUGUAUGUUCUUAAUAAAAUGGUAUUCUUGUGUUUUUACUGAACUGACCCAUUUCACUGAGGAUUUUCAGUCCCAGCCAAAACCCAUCCUGUUUCAGUGAUGAGUUCUGAUCCCAACCAAUCCGACAGUCUCGUCCAUUCCAGGUAAGUAAACACCGGUCAUUGCUGAGGCUCAUCAAACUGGAAGCUCCUCAUUGAUCAAGUUAUAGUGGUGGCAUUUCGGAACCGAAAUCUGACGCUGCCAGAGGACUAUGAUGAAUUGUAUGAAAUUCAUGACAAGGAAUUAGCAUUUCUUGAUGAACAAAAGAUUUUAUACACGCCUCAGUUCAGGUUCUUGGACAGAGCUGCCAUUCUCGAUCAAGGCUCCAUACCACAACCAUGGAGAGUAUGUACAGUGACCCAAGUUGAAGAGAUGAAGAUCCUAACAAGGAUGAUGCCCAUCAUAGCCAGCACUAUCAUCAUGAACACAUGCCUGUCCCGGCUAACUACAAACAUUCUCUGUCCAAUAAGGCAACAUCAUGGACCUCCAUCUAGGCUCCAUCAAAGUUGAGGCGCCAU
This is a long non-coding RNA of Magnolia sinica, 833 nucleotides long. RefSeq lists it as uncharacterized. The record is from RefSeq and is a predicted model, not a curated record. The transcript has 3 exons. Lineage: Eukaryota; Viridiplantae; Streptophyta; Magnoliopsida; Magnoliales; Magnoliaceae.